This is a long non-coding RNA of Capsicum annuum, 950 nucleotides long. RefSeq lists it as uncharacterized. NCBI's taxonomy places the organism in Eukaryota, Viridiplantae, Streptophyta, Magnoliopsida, Solanales, Solanaceae. The record is from RefSeq and is a predicted model, not a curated record. The transcript is spliced from 3 exons.
UUGGGCCGGGUCGGUGGCUUCACUUGGCCCAAAUGUUUUCGUUCAAGUAAAAAGGCCAGGCUAAUAGCAUCAUUUAGAGUAUUGGGAUGAAAGGAUAAUACCUCACUUUUUAUAUUUGGAUGCAACCCGGAAAUAAAAUAGUGCUUCAUCAUUUUAGGAUUAAGAUGGGAGGUGCGAUUGGUAAGUUGCUCGAACUGAGAGAGAUAGUCUCAAACAGAGGACGUCAUCUAGAGCUUAGCCAAAACUCCCUCUGGUGCCUCCAUAGAUUUGGAACCAAAACGAAUUAUAAAUGCGUUGGUGAAGUGCUCCCAAAUGAUGAGUUGAUGAUUUUUAUGCAUCCAUUGGUACCAAUCUCUAGAAGUACCCUCCAGCUUCUAGCUAUCAGAGACGGUCUUUUCCGUACAUUCAGGAAGAGGCAAAAGGGUGCAAUGGAGCCUGAGGAGGUGCAGUAAACUGCUGACUCUCUACACAGUUUAUCUGGCUUCUAAAUCAUUUGGCUUCAUCGCAUUUUCUAGGUUCGACAGUAUGACACCGAAAGUAGGGUAACAAGGAUAAACAGAAAUAUUUUGAUGAGUUCUUCAAAGUUGGACUGGCCCAAAUUUUGUUUCAAUGUCAUCUCAGCUGUUCCUUGUGUGUGGAGAAGGAUACACACCAAAAUAUCGGCUACACUCACUUCACUGCUAGUUGUUACUAGUUGACAAGUUUAAUUGCUAUUUGCAAUUAAGAACUAAAUAGUUUGAUAGCCUUCGGUAUUGAGAUUCAAUAUGCUUUAUUAAAUCAGGAAGAUCACUUGGAAUAAUCUCCGAUGCAACUUUCACUUCUUCCAAGAUCCUUAAAUGAAUCUGAACCCAAAUGUUUUGUUUAGUAUGGUAAGAUAAGGGCCUUGGAAGUAGUAUGCGUUAAUCUGAAUUUAGUUCUCUUUCUCCCCAAAUAGAAAAUGUUUUUGAGCA